AUUGCUUUUUGAUCAAUGUCGGAUGGUUUGGUGACUUAGGAAUAUCCUGGUUAGCUCAACUUCUUGGAACUUAAAACUAUUUUAGGUUCUUAAGUCAGUCUUUAUAACUUGAUUGAUUAGUCAAUUGGUUCUAUGUUUGUGAGGAUUGAAAGUUAAUUUUUAAUCUUAUCAGAGAGUAGAGAUUAUAGUUAAAUGUGUGUACUUGAUUUUAAAUUUGUUCUAGAGACUUUUAAAACAAAUGUGCUCCCACGUUUUUUUCAAAUCCCAACACUCCUC
RNAcentral lists this long non-coding RNA (276 nucleotides) under Elaeis guineensis (African oil palm). RNAcentral describes it as "long non-coding RNA (EGUI_LNC056187)". Lineage: Eukaryota; Viridiplantae; Streptophyta; Magnoliopsida; Arecales; Arecaceae. The record is from RNAcentral.